RNAcentral lists this ribosomal RNA (433 nucleotides) under uncultured bacterium. Its description in RNAcentral is "partial 16S ribosomal RNA". It matches the Rfam family "Bacterial small subunit ribosomal RNA", at positions 29 to 507 of the family's 1533-position model. The record is from RNAcentral.
AGCGAACGCUGGCGGCAGGCCUAACACAUGCAAGUCGAACGAACUCUUCGGAGUUAGUGGCGGACGGGUGAGUAACACGUGGGAACGUGCCUUUAGGUUCGGAAUAACUCAGGGAAACUUGUGCUAAUACCGAAUGUGCCCUUCGGGGGAAAGAUUUAUCGACUUUGGAGCGGCCCGCGUCUGAUUAGCUAGUUGGUGAGGUAAAGGCUCACCAAGGCGACGAUCAGUAGCUGGUCUGAGAGGAUGAUCAGCCACAUUGGGACUGAGACACGGCCCAAACUCCUACGGGAGGCAGCAGUGGGGAAUCUUGCGCAAUGGGCGAAAGCCUGACGCAGCCAUGCCGCGUGAAUGAUGAAGGUCUUAGGAUUGUAAAAUUCUUUCACCGGGGACGAUAAUGACGGUACCCGGAGAAGAAGCCCCGGCUAACUUCGUG